RNAcentral lists this long non-coding RNA (6752 nucleotides) under Sus scrofa (pig). Its description in RNAcentral is "lncRNA (ENSSSCG00000059676.1)". Lineage: Eukaryota; Metazoa; Chordata; Mammalia; Artiodactyla; Suidae. The record is from RNAcentral.
AGGCUCUUGAACCUUUGCUGCGCAGAACCAGUGAAUGCGCGGGAAAAUUUGUUGCGAGAAGAGCGAGGAAUCCAGCUUUACCUUUCUGCUGUUUUAAAGCCAGCAGACAAGGCCGGCAUCGUCCCUGCACCGUAGACCUCCAGCCUUUUCUGUUUUCAUCCAGAAGGAUGAAAGAAAGACCUGCAUUUCCGUUGAGUUUUCACCACUAGGUCUUCAGCUCCCUGAACACACACAUUGCAUCUUAUUCAUCAUUUGCCUCCCCAGCCUCACACCAAUGUUUGGACGCUAAAUUAAUGUGUGAAGGGGAUGGGGGCUGGUUAUUCCUGAGACCCUUGAGUGUAACUGCUGUCCUUUUUAUUUGACAAAAUCCAUGACAUCUGGAGAAGGAACUUGUGGAUGCAGCGAGGUGUUGGUUCAGUGCUUUGCCUUCUCUUUCCUUCUUUCCUGCCCUUCUUCCCUUCAUAGACAUUUCAUGGCCUGUGAACCAGAUAGCAGUGGGUUAGACAGACUGGGAGGAUAAAGAAACAGGACUCAAGGGGGGGCCAAUUUGCCAGGGAUGCUGUGUAGACGUAAACAGCUAACCAGGACUCUGGGUGAUAAGAGCUGUUGACAGGAAUUGAGGGUGGGGGGUCCUCAAAGCUACCUGUACAGGGGGAAGGCAUCUAAGUAGAGGAAGCAGGGGCAGAAGCUCACCAGGAGAAGGUCCCUGCUGAUGAGGGUGCCUCUGUUUGGAUUCCCCCCAAAUGGGUUUACCUCCUGUUCAUUCUUUUUUUUGGGGGGGGGGGCACCCCACGGCAUACGGAGUUCCCAGGCCAGGGAUCAGAUAGAUCCGAGCCACAGUUGCAACCUAUAUCACAAGUGUGGCGGUGACAGAUGCUUUAUCCCACUGUGUGGGCCAGUGCUGAGACCUGAGUCCCAGCUCCAGAGAUGCUGCAGAUCCUGUUGUGCCCCAGUGGGAACUCCUCUCCUAUUUAUUCUUUAGGCCUCACAUGAAGUAUCACUUCUACGGUGAUAAGAUAAGGUCUUCCUAUUUUAUUUAUUUAUUUAUUUUGUCUUUUGUCCUUUUUAGGGCCGCACCUGUGGCAUAUGGAGGUUCCCAGGGUAGGGGUAGAAUAGGAGCUGUAGGCACCAGUCUAUGCCACAGUCACACCAACGCCAGAUCCUUAACCCACUGAGUGAGGCAUGGAUCGAACCCACAACCUCGUGGUUCCUAGUCAGAUUCAUUUCCUCUGUGCCAUGACGGGAGCUCCCACAUAAGGUCUUUCUAUUCAGUGUUCCUGUAGCACCUGGCAGUUUUUUUUUUUUCUUCAAUACUCAUGACAGGUCCAAUUGGGCAACAUUCAUCGUCCCUAUUCCACUCUGAACUUCCAGAGGCAGAAACCACCUUUCUGUUCAUGGACAGUCUCCACACUCAGCCCAGUGCCUGUCCCGUGGGGUUCCCUAAAUAUCUGGUGGCCUGAUGAGUAAUCAGACUUUCCUUAAGUUAAUGCGAAACUGGUUCCUACAGUUUCUGUUUUGGAUGUGAGGUCAGGCUGCGACCACUCCACUCCAGGUAUCCCCCUUCCCCCCCACCGGGGGGAACCACCUGGAACAGAGUGGCCUUGAUUCAGAAUGUAUUGUUUUGUGGUUUUUCUGCAGCUCGGUGAUUUCAGAACUGUCUUCUGCAGAAACAUGAGGCGUUAGAUGCUCCUCAGAAAGGGACACCAUCACGAAAUAUGUCUGAGGAAAGGAGUUGAGCCAAACAGGUUUCUGAACUGCAAGGAUUUCACAGCCUUGGUUCACCUCGUGCAGGGUCCUCACCAGGAGCAUCUAAUAACACUUUGCAACCAGCGGGGGUGUGGAUGAAAUGAAAUGGUGAUUUUGCGGCACCAUUUUCCCCACAUCCUCCUGGGCCCCCGGAGGUGGAAGGACCAGCCACAGGGAGAGCUGAGCAGCAAUAAUUUGUGCCCAUCUGGGCUCCUCUUUGCUACAUCCUGUGACAGUUCCUUGUUUUUUGACGGUAAGGAGAGAAUUAUGAUGUCAAUGAAAGAGGCUGGCCUUGGUGGCUGGUGCUCUGUGACUUUGGAAGACUUCCUUAGCCUCUCUGUGCCUCAGGCACUUUAUUUGUGAUAAGAAAUAAGAGUAUUGAACUUACAUGCUGUUGUUAUAAUUUUAAAAACUCUUGUAUAUACAGUUGACCCUUGAAAACCAUGAGUUUAAACUACGAGGGCCCACUGAAUUGCAAAUUUUUUUUACAAUAAAUACAGUUAACUCGUGGUCAUCAGUUGGUUGAGCCAUGGAUAUGGAGGAACCACAGAUAAAGAAGGCCCAGUGUAAAGCACACCCGGAUUUUCCAGGAGGGUCAGGGCCCCAACCCCCUGGGUUGUUCACAGGUGACCUGUAUUGAGAAUUCUCAUGAUAGGCAUACACUUGAUUUAAAUGCUAAUAACUGAUUAGUUAGACAUUGAAUAUCCAUCCAGCCUCUAAUAGGCUAAUGUAACUAGAUAAGUUGCUAGUCAAUAGAGCAGGUCACAGAGGACUAGGGCCUGAGAGGUGAGCUUUUCUCCACCUGCUGUCUUUGGAGUUCAAGUGAUGCCUUCUGUCAUCGUUGCUCUUCCAGCCAGCAGCAUCAUUGCUCUUUUUUAAAAAGUUUUUUAAAUUUUUAACUUUUUUGAGAUUAAAAAAAAAAUCUGUAGGAGUUCUCAUCUCGGCUCAGUGGUAACGAACCUGACUCGUACCCAUGAGGACGCGGGUUCAACCCUGACCUCGCUCAGUCAGUUAAGGAUACAGCAUUGCUGUGAGCUGUGGUGUAGGUCAAAGACAUGGCUCAAAUCCUGCGUUGCUGUAUUUGACCCCUAGCCUGGGAACUUCCAUAUGCCAUGGGUGGGGCCCUAAAAAGACAAAAAAAAAAUUGUAAUUGAAGUAUAGUUGAUGUACAGUGUUAUAUUAGUUUCAGGUGUACAGCAAAGUGAUUCAUUUGUGUGUGUGUAUAUAUAUUCUUUUUCAGAUUCUUUUUAUUAUAGGUUAUUGCAAAAUAGUGAGUAUAGUUCCCUGUGCUAUACAGUAGGAUUCAAAUUUUUCAAUAGCAUUUGCUGAGCUCGCCCUCUAAAUUUCGUUGUGAUUCCAUUACGCUUUAUCCUCAAAGUGAAAAGCAGAGCAGGUGUAUAUCAAGAUUCAAACAGUACAUAAUUUUUAAUGGCCAUAUCCAUGGCAUCUGGAAAUUCCCAGGCCAAGGAUCAAAUCCGAGUCAUAGCUGUGUCCUACGCCACAGCUGCGGCAAUGCUGGAUCCUUAACCCACUGCGCCACAGCAGGAACUCCCAAGAUUUAAAACUUUUGCCCACAGUCCAUUUUUCAGGGACCGAUUGAAUAGCCAAGAGCCACGUUCCUGGGCAUUGGGGUUGUGAUCCAGAAGACCACACUAUUUUUAAACAAUAAAGACCUGUUUGCAAGGAAAAGUAAAUAGGAUCUCACCUUGUUUGUUGCAGCUUAAUUUGACCAGGAAAAUGUCAACCCUACAUUCUCAGAGAAGAAACAUUUUCAGGGGCUGCAGGUAAGAGUACAGCGGGGAAAUUCAUAUUGUUUUAAAACUGCCCUGAAACCAUCCAGCCUGAAAAGAAAGCUCCUCUGGAAAUUCAGAGGUACUCUGAAAUUGAGUGUAGAAAUGGUUUCUUAUCUGUGUAAUAUGAACAGUUUUACUUCUUCAACUGUUCAUUUUCUGUAGAGGAUAUGAACGUGGGUGGAGUUUGCUAGACUAGGUGCUUAGGGUAAAUUUGUUCCCAUAUAGAAUCUCUGAUACAGUCAUGGAAGCUACAAACUUUGAAACAGGAAACAAAGGACAUUCUUUUCAACCGUUGGGUCUAUAGAAUCUCAAUGCCCAGAACAGUGUGUGGCUCAGAUAUCCUGCCAUAACUUCAUGCUUAUAGGGGUUCACUACUUAGGGAUCAGCACUACUACAUAGGGAUUGCUAAAGAUCAAGAGAGUUUCUCUAAGAUGCUCUUAUAGCAACAUCCAGUGUUAGACCUGCAGUACCUCUUGGGUACCUCCUCAGUGCCUUUGGGCAUCUCUUAUCCUUUAUCCCAGCCACUGAUGCUGGCUGGGCCCCAGGUCCAGAGCUCCAUUCGGGUUGCCUGAUGACUGCAUCAGUCUCCACUUCUCCUCCAGUCCUGCUUCCCCUCUUCCUUCACAAGUAUUGAUCCCAAGAGCAGUCUUUGAUCAACCACUUCCUUGGGAACAUGACCGUGAAACUUGGGCUAUGACCAGAGGAGAUAGUUUGCAUUCCGAGGCUGGUGUGGUCCUUGAAUGAAAAACACUUGGGUUAUAACAAAUAGUCUUAUUAAUACCAAACUAUAAUUAUGAGCCUCUUGCUAGUUGGCAAUUGAUUUUUUUUUUUUAGUUGGCAAUUGAUUUUGAUUAAAUGUAUGUAGCAAAGUGAACAUAUUUUUCAGAAUAUUUUUGAGAAUCCCUAAAUGUAUCUCACUUCAGAUGCCAGAUUUCCAAUCCUGCUUUCAGUUCUCAGUUUGAAUUUUAGCCAUUUCGUAAAAGAGAAGGCAUUGUCCCAGAGCUAAGUAGACACAGACAUUCCUCUGAGUUUUGAUACAUGGUCGGGAAGAUACGGAUUCAUACAUUCAUGUCUAGAAUCCUAAGGUUUUGUUCCUCCUUUGUACAUAUGGCAUGUUUUUUGGCCCAGUUCUUGAAACUGAACCAUACCCAUAACCAUACCCAUAAUUAUUAUGUGUGGUAAUUCCGAUAUUUGCCAAAGUUUGCAUUCCGUGGUCAAUUACAAAAACUUUAAGAUUCAUUUUUAUCAAGUUCUGUGAAUAUUUUCUUGAGUUAUGACUCCAUAGUCAACCAAUAGCAGUUCUAUGAAGUUUGUGGAGGUUUUGGGGGCGUGGGGCUCAGGGCUGAGCAGGAACAUGGCAUCAAUAUCUCCACCUACCAUCUCUUUGCCCACGCAUCCACUCACAUCUGAGUGCCUGGACCAAUCACCAAAGCACCUUUUUCUUACUUGCCCUUUCAAGGUCAGCUCUUGUCUCAUCAGCAAGAAAUGUCUUGUCUUAUCUUGGGAUCCUUUGGGGAAAGGGCACGGUGGUUCCUAUGAGUUCUCUCAUGACUGAAAGUGAUCGGAGGAAGUAGUUCAAAAAAUGUCUUUUUCUUUGACAAGUUCAUGCAAGCUUGUCAAGCACUGCGUAUACUGUUUUACUAGAUAGGGUAAGUCUCCACGCCUCUGCUGCAAAUUCUGUGCCGCCUACCGCCUGAGCAUCACGGAGGGGACAGGUAUAAAGAAAAUGCACAGGAGUUCCCGUUGCGGCUCAGCGGGUUAAGAACACAACAUCUCUGCGAGGACGCAGGUUGGAUCUCUGGCCUUGCUCAGUGGGUUAAGGAUCUGGCAUUGCUGCAAGCUGUGGUGGAGGUCGAAGGUGCAGCUCGGAUCUGGUGUUCUGUGGUUGUGGUGUAGGCCGGCAGCUGCAGCUCCAGUUUGAGCCCUAGCCCAAGAACUUCCAUAUGCCUCAGGUGUGGCCAUAAAAAAAGAAAAGGAAGCAAACACAUGAUCACCGGUGACACUCGUGAUGAGCCUGAAUGGCCAUGUUGACAGACCAGUUCUGAAAAGGAUGGCACGGGAAGUUGGGCAUGUGUUUCUUUUAGCUUGUGUUAAGAAAGGAAUAUCUUCCCCCUUUUCAUAUGAUCUUUCAAGGCAAGCAAAUCAAUCUCUCUCCCUGGAUGUCAAGCUGCUCAGAUCUCUCACGGAAAGGGACAUAAGGGCUAAUUCAGGGAGGGAUGUUGUCCUUGGAUCUGGUCCCCAUGGGUCCCACCUCCCCCUUCCUACCUUCUCCCUCCUCACCUUCCCACCCUCCCCAGCUCUGCCUUUUAUGCUUUGGAUGGUCCUGUCUGCUCUAAAUGUCUCUGGUUAAAAGGACUGUAAGAAUGACCCCCCUCACACACCCCAGCACUGAAGGUGGUCACACGUGUGCCGUGCCCUCCUGCGGCCAUGGGGGCUAUGGGUGCUGGGAGCACCGGGUGGACCUGGGCAACAGGGCAGUUGAGGGCAGUGAGGCAGCCCAGGUCCUGUUAGAGCCUGAGUCAGAGCCUGCUGUUUCUGGGACCUGGGCUUUCUCAAUUCACCGAGCCUGCUGCUGGGGAGGGAGUCGGUCUUUGGGAAUGUGGAACUCAGCCCAGGUGGCAGCCUCAUCAGUGUGCAUCUGGAUGUCACAAUACUUGCAGUCAGACUGUUCCUCUUUCUUUCAAACACACGUGCACUUGCCCUUGGACUUUUCCAUUGCAAAGGCUGAUGCUGCAAAUGAGAGUCAACUUUUCCAGUCUUGGCAAUGUGGUCAUUUUCAGCUCUGAUUGGCCAUUUGAUGGACCAUCUACGCUCCUCCAAGUAUAGGGGCUCACACAGUCACAGGUGGAAUAAGGCGACUGCACCCAGCUGACAUCUCUGACUUGAGUGUAGCUUCCUUCCCGUGCUUAGAUCCUAAAGAAUCGUCCUGUUUCUCCAGGUGCACUGUGCCUAAGCAUCUAGAACCGCUGGCUCCCUGAUGCCUACCCUGCCUGCAGGUUCUAUCCGAUCAGGGACCUGGUCUGUCCUUGGCCGCUAGAACAGGGCUGGUGCAGGCGACCCUCAGUUACCCUGGGCUGAGUAUGUGAAGGAAAGCUGCCUCAGUUUCAGCCAGCAUUCACCGUGCUGGGCUCCGAGUACACUGUAGGAUAGUGUAAUGGCAUGAAUGGCAAGAGGUCAGAGCUGGGGAUGAAGGGAAAAUGGAGAGACGGAUGU